AAAAAAAGAAAAAUCUAGUAAAGUAACUACUAGAACCAAAUAGGCUUUCUACACAUGCAUCGUCUAAAACAACGAUUUUUAUCAGCUGUAGCAAAGAAAGAAACUUCAUAGAAGUCAAAAUAGGAAAAAAUAAAAAUGCCUAGCAACUUUUUUCUAUGGAUAUAAGGCUUUAAUUGAUAGAGAUAGAGGAAGCAAGGUGAAUGCCGAUAAAUUACAAAAUUAGGCCUGACUUAAGUUUUUUGGAGAUGGACAUGCGCGGCCGUGCAUCUGGGUGUAUGACCGUGCAUAUGCUUGCGCACAUCUACCAGUUCAUCUAUGAUACUUGCGCUCUCAUGCGCGUGGUUGGGGAUUCUCGUGCGCGUCCACAUAAGAGAAGUUCCUCCUCUCCCAGCUUUGUUUCCUUCCUCAUCAUGCAAUUAUUUGUCCCGUGAUCCCCUCCGCACCGCCUGGACAGAAAAGCAAAAUAUUGGACAAUAAUCAGACUAAAUAUCUAGAAAAUCAACAAAAUCAAGGCCACAAAUCGAACAUAAAUUUGAGAUUUUAAGCUCAUCAAACACCCUACACUUAUAUUUUGCUUGUCCACAGAAAAUCUAUUACUAAACUACUCCUUACACUGCAACUUCCUUAGACAAAUGGACAAACAGAAUUAACUAGAUCGAAUUAUGUGGUCAGUUUCAAC
Molecule: long non-coding RNA, 679 nt
Filed under: Nicotiana benthamiana
Lineage: Eukaryota; Viridiplantae; Streptophyta; Magnoliopsida; Solanales; Solanaceae
Description: long non-coding RNA (NBEN_LNC016429)
Source: RNAcentral